RNAcentral lists this ribosomal RNA (229 nucleotides) under uncultured bacterium. RNAcentral's name for it is "partial 16S ribosomal RNA". It matches the Rfam family "Bacterial small subunit ribosomal RNA", at positions 568 to 796 of the family's 1533-position model. The record is from RNAcentral.
CUCGUAGGCGGUUAGUCACGUCGGAUGUGAAAUCCCAGUGCUUAACACUGGGCCUGCAUUCGAUACGGGCUGACUAGAGUGUUGUAGGGGAGACUGGAACUCCUGGUGUAGCGGUGAAAUGCGCAGAUAUCAGGAAGAACACCGGUGGCGAAGGCGGGUCUCUGGGCAACUACUGACGCUGAGGAGCGAAAGCGUGGGGAGCAAACAGGAUUAGAUACCCUGGUAGUCC